AACUUAGGUCACCCACGUUAACUUAGGACGUUUCUGUUGACUAACUUUGGGCGUUCUAUUUAUUAAAAUUUGAAAGUCAUAAAUGCUGGGCUUAAAAGAAAAGAAUCUCUCAGAACCUGAAAUGAAAAUUUAGCAUUAUAUGACAGUUUUGAGAAAAAUGAUUCAGAGUUCUUUAAAAAUUAAACUUCCCAAAUGAUUCUAGAUUGAAUUAUAUUCUGAAUACCUAAUAUCUGCAGAUUACUGUUUUAGAUGCUAUAGAGACAAAAAGUAGGUAUAUUAGCCUUCUAAUCCUUAAAGAAUCUGUAGUCCAAUUGGGGAAGUAAGCACAAGGCAGGUGAAAAAGAGAAAUAAUAAAACAAAGCAGCAUACAAUAAAUUUCCAAAUGACUAAUGCCAAUAAUCAGAGAUAUGUGUGCAAUUAGAUAACAAUAACUGAGUUAGAGCCAUCUAGAAAGAAAUCGUACUUGAUGUGAGUCUUGCAGAAGGGAAUAAUUUGGAUAAAACAGGAGAAUAAUUGGUGUAUAAAGGAGAAAGAAGAGUGGAGCAAAAACAUAGGUGUAGAUAAGCUUCAGAGAAAUUUAGGAAGCAGGGAUCAGACUCCCCCGGCUGUAGCAGAGGAACCCUGGGAGGACAACGAGGACUUGGAGGGAAUGAAGGUUGAAGUGAGACAAACAAGAACAUGAAUGCAAAGCCAUGGAGUUCAGACCUCCUCCCACAGACAAACUUCUGUACAAGGGCUGAAGACAGGACAAGAUGUGCUGAUGUAUAAAAAGUCUAAAUCUGCAGCAUAAUCGUGAAGAGAUGAGGAAAGCCACGUACUCAGAGCCUCACUUAAAGGAAAUGAAACAGUAAAACUGAAUCAGAUUUGGCUCUUCACUUCUGCCUUCAGUGCUGUCCAGACUCAGACAUUAUAUCAGUAGGUUUCAGUUUUACUAACCAAUAAGUUCUUUGUGUACUUAAAGUUGGUUGUUUUUUAAUGGGGAUGUGGAAUGGAGGGGUAAAUAUUUUGUGUUUUUUAAUGAGGAAUCCCAAACACUAGAGUUUUUUCUUUAUAUUGCAAAGGCACUGAUGCCCCUUCUCACAAAAUAUUUCAUGCUUCAGUAUUGGCCUAAAGUUGACUAUCUUUAUAUAAAUUAAAAUCUUCUCAUGUUUUAGUGGUGUUUUAGAAGAUCUUGACAUGUUACUUUUUGAAUUAAAGUGAAACGCAUAGCAUAUGGACUCAACAAAACCAUUCUCUGUGAAUAAAAUGUGUCACAUUCUAUAAUAAAACUAUAUAUAGCAUGUUAUUCCAUAUUCUGUAUGAUUAAUUUUAGAGAUUAUAUCUUGAAUUCUGCUAUCAAUCUACAAUGUUUAUUCAUUCAUUCAACAAAUAUUUGUUAAGAACUACUAUGUGUCAAGUACCUAGUUUGCAACAGUGAAUAAACAGAUAUUCUUGAGUUUGUGAAGUUUAUUAUAUUCAAGAGACAGAAAUAUAGAUAGUACACAAUUAACAUAACACCUAAGAAAAGAAUUUAAUAUGUAAUAAGAUCAUAAGUACAAUGAGAAAAAAUGCAUCACAGUAAGGAGACUGGGGAGAGUUUGCAAUGUGAAUCAUGUGGUCAGAGUGAGUCUCAUUGAAAAGUUAACAUUAGAACAAAGACUGGGAGAAGACGCAGUUGUGAGUCAUCUGUGUUCUGCAGCGGGAACGGCAAGUACAAAGGCUCUGAGGAAGGAGGGCGCCUGGAGUGUUUGCAGCAGUGUGAGGAGGUCAGCUUAAAAGUAGAAAUGAGAAGAAGAAUAGAUGAUAGGAUCAGCUGGCUAUGCAAUUUGCAGUGCAAAAUAAAUUUGUGGGGACUCUUGUUAAAAUUUCUUUCUCUUUUUUUAUUAUACUUUAAGUUCUGGGGUACGUGUGCACAACAUGCAGGUUUGUUACAUAGGUAUACAUGUGCCGUGUUGGUUUGCUGCACCCAUCAACUCAUCAUUUACAUUAGGUAUUUCUCCUAAUGCUAUCCCUCCCCCAGGCCCCCACCUCCCAACAGGCCCCAGUGUGUGAUGUUCCCCUCCUUGUGUCCAUGUGUUCUCAUUGUUCAACUCCCACUUAUGAGUGAGAACAUGCAGUAUUUGGUUUUCUGUCCUUGUGAUAGUUUGCUGAGAAUGAUGGUUUCCAGUUUCAUCCAUGUCCCUGGAAAGGACAUGAACUCAUCCUUUUUUAUGGUUGCAUAGUAUUCCAUGGUGUAUAUGUGCCACAUUUUCUUAAUCCAGUCUAUCAUUGAUGGACAUUUGGCUUGGUUCCAAGUCUUUGCUAUUGCGAAUAGUGCCACAAUAAACAUACGUGUGCAUGUGUCUUUAUAGCAGCAUGAUUUAUAAUCCUUUGGGUAUAUGCCCAGUAAUAGGAUGGCUGGGUCAAAUGGUAUUUCUAGUUCUAGAUCCUUGAGGAAUUGCCACACUGUCUUCCACAAUGGUUGAACUAGUUUACAAUCCAACCAACAGUGUAAGAGUGUUCCUAUUUCUCCACAUCCUCUCCAGUACCUGUUGUUUCCUGACUUUUUGAUGAUCACCAUUCUAACUGGGGUGAGAUGGUAUCUCAUUGUGGUUUUGAUUUGCAUUUCUCUGAUGGCCAGUGAUGACGAGCAUUUUUUCAUGUGUCUGUUGGCUGCAUAAAUGUCUUCUUUUGAGAAGUGUCUGUUCAUAUCCUUCUCCCACUUGUUGAUGGGGUUGUUUGUUUUUUUCUUGUAAAUUUGUUUGAGUUCUUUGUAGAUUCUGGAUAUUAGCC
RNAcentral lists this long non-coding RNA (2751 nucleotides) under Homo sapiens (human). RNAcentral's name for it is "non-protein coding lnc-RGS1-1:4". Lineage: Eukaryota; Metazoa; Chordata; Mammalia; Primates; Hominidae. The record is from RNAcentral.